RNAcentral lists this ribosomal RNA (444 nucleotides) under Segatella buccae. Its description in RNAcentral is "bacterial SSU rRNA". It matches the Rfam family "Bacterial small subunit ribosomal RNA", at positions 28 to 462 of the family's 1533-position model. Lineage: Bacteria; Pseudomonadati; Bacteroidota; Bacteroidia; Bacteroidales; Prevotellaceae. The record is from RNAcentral.
GAUGAACGCUGGCUACAGGCUUAACACAUGCAAGUCGAGGGGCAGCAUGCCGGUUGCUUGCAACCGGUGAUGGCGACCGGCGCACGGGUGAGUAACGCGUAUCCAACCUUCCCGCGACCAAGGGAUAACCUGCCGAAAGGCAGACUAAUACCUUAUGUCCUCCUUUGAAGGCAUCUGACGAGGAGCAAAGAUCCGUCGGUCACGGAUGGGGAUGCGUCCGAUUAGCUUGUUGGCGGGGCAACGGCCCACCAAGGCAUCGAUCGGUAGGGGUUCUGAGAGGAAGGCCCCCCACACUGGAACUGAGACACGGUCCAGACUCCUACGGGAGGCAGCAGUGAGGAAUAUUGGUCAAUGGGCGGAAGCCUGAACCAGCCAAGUAGCGUGCAGGACGACGGCCCUACGGGUUGUAAACUGCUUUUAUGCGGGGAUAAAGUUGCCCAACGU